RNAcentral lists this ribosomal RNA (220 nucleotides) under Aeromonas veronii. RNAcentral describes it as "partial 16S ribosomal RNA". It matches the Rfam family "Bacterial small subunit ribosomal RNA", at positions 1320 to 1533 of the family's 1533-position model. The record is from RNAcentral. Lineage: Bacteria; Pseudomonadati; Pseudomonadota; Gammaproteobacteria; Aeromonadales; Aeromonadaceae.
GUGAAGUCGGAAUCGCUAGUAAUCGCAAAUCAGAAUGUUGCGGUGAAUACGUUCCCGGGCCUUGUACACACCGCCCGUCACACCAUGGGAGUGGGUUGCACCAGAAGUAGAUAGCUUAACCUUCGGGAGGGCGUUUACCACGGUGUGAUUCAUGACUGGGGUGAAGUCGUAACAAGGUAACCCUAGGGGAACCUGGGGUUGGAUCACCUCCUUACCUUAA